CCUGGCGACUAGAGUAUUGGAGCCACCUGAUCCCAUCCCAGAACUUAAGAAGUGAAACGGUGCCUCGCUGAUGAUAGUGUGGGAGAUCAUACGCGAAAGUAGGUUAUUGCUAGGU
This is a ribosomal RNA of Achromatium sp. WMS2, 115 nucleotides long. The record is from Rfam. Lineage: Bacteria; Pseudomonadati; Pseudomonadota; Gammaproteobacteria; Thiotrichales; Thiotrichaceae.